Molecule: ribosomal RNA, 817 nt
Filed under: Peterkaempfera griseoplana
Lineage: Bacteria; Bacillati; Actinomycetota; Actinomycetes; Kitasatosporales; Streptomycetaceae
Description: bacterial SSU rRNA
Rfam family: Bacterial small subunit ribosomal RNA
Source: RNAcentral
CAUCCUCCUUGGGACAAGCCCUGGAAACGGGUCUAAUACGGAUAACUUGUCCCCAUGGGACGGGGUUAAAAGUCCGGGGUGAAGGAUGAGCCCGCGGCCUAUCAGCUGUUGGUGGGGUAAUGGCCUACCAAGGCGACGACGGGUAGCCGGCCUGAGAGGGCGACCGCCCACUGGGACUGAGACAGGCCCAGACUCCUACGGGAGGCAGCAGUGGGGAAUAUUGCACAAUGGGCGAAAGCCUGAUGCAGCGACGCCGCGUGAGGGAUGACGGCCUUCGGGUUGUAAACCUCUUUCAGCAGGGAAGAAGCGAAAGUGACGGUACCUGCAGAAGAAGCGCCGGCUAACUACGUGCCAGCAGCCGCGGUAAUACGUAGGGCGCAAGCGUUGUCCGGAAUUAUUGGGCGUAAAGAGCUCGUAGGCGGCUUGUCACGUCGGAUGUGAAAGCCCGGGGCUUAACCCCGGGUCUGCAUUCGAUACGGGCUAGCUAGAGUGUGGUAGGGGAGAUCGGAAUUCCUGGUGUAGCGGUGAAAUGCGCAGAUAUCAGGAGGAACACCGGUGGCGAAGGCGGAUCUCUGGGCCAUUACUGACGCUGAGAGCGAAAGCGUGGGGAGCGAACAGGAUUAGAUACCCUGGUAGUCCACGCCGUAAACGUUGGGAACUAGGUGUUGGCGACAUUCCACGUCGUCGGUGCCGCAGCUAACGCAUUAAGUUCCCCGCCUGGGGAGUACGGCCGCAAGGCUAAAACUCAAAGGAAUUGACGGGGGCCCGCACAAGCAGCGGACAUGUGUCUUAAUUCGACCAACGCGAAGAACCUACC